RNAcentral lists this ribosomal RNA (253 nucleotides) under uncultured bacterium. RNAcentral describes it as "partial 16S ribosomal RNA". It matches the Rfam family "Archaeal small subunit ribosomal RNA", at positions 474 to 727 of the family's 1478-position model. The record is from RNAcentral.
UACCAGCACCCCGAGUGGUCGGGACGAUUAUUGGGCCUAAAGCAUCCGUAGCCGGUUCUACAAGUCUUCCGUUAAAUCCACCUGCUUAACAGAUGGGCUGCGGAGGAUACUAUAGAGCUAGGAGGCGGGAGAGGCAAGCGGUACUUAGUGGGUAGGGGUAAAAUCCGUUGAUCCAUUGAAGACCACCAGUGGCGAAGGCGGCUUGCCAGAACGCACUCGACGGUGAGGGAUUAAAGCUGGGGGAGCAAACCGG